UGAUCCUGGCUCAAAGCGAACGCUGGCGGCAUGCUUAACACAUGCAAGUCGCACGAAGGUUUCGGCCUUAGUGGCGGACGGGUGAGUAACGCGUAGGAAUCUAUCCACGGGUGGGGGAUAACUUCGGGAAACUGAAGCUAAUACCGCAUGAUACCUGAGGGUCAAAGGCGCAAGUCGCCUGUGGAGGAGCCUGCGUUUGAUUAGCUUGUUGGUGGGGUAAUGGCCUACCAAGGCGAUGAUCGAUAGCUGGUUUGAGAGGAUGAUCAGCCACACUGGGACUGAGACACGGCCCAGACUCCUGCGGGAGGCAGCAGUGGGGAAUAUUGGACAAUGGGGGCAACCCUGAUCCAGCAAUGCCGCGUGUGUGAAGAAGGUUUUCGGAUUGUAAAGCACUUUCGGCGGGGACGAUGAUGACGGUACCCGCAGAAGAAGCCCCGGCUAACUUCGUGCCAGCAGCCGCGGUAAUACGAAGGGGGCUAGCGUUGCUCGGAAUGACUGGGCGUAAAGGGCGUGUAGGCGGUUUGUACAGUCAGAUGUGAAAUCCCCGGGCUUAACCUGGGAGCUGCAUUUGAUACGUGCAAACUAGAGUGUGAGAGAGGGUUGUGGAAUUCCCAGUGUAGAGGUGAAAUUCGUAGAUAUUGGGAAGAACACCGGUGGCGAAGGCGGCAACCUGGCUCAUAACUGACGCUGAGGCGCGAAAGCGUGGGGAGCAAACAGGAUUA
This 722-nucleotide ribosomal RNA is filed under the name uncultured Acetobacter sp. Its description in RNAcentral is "bacterial SSU rRNA". It matches the Rfam family "Bacterial small subunit ribosomal RNA", at positions 14 to 780 of the family's 1533-position model. The record is from RNAcentral. Lineage: Bacteria; Pseudomonadati; Pseudomonadota; Alphaproteobacteria; Acetobacterales; Acetobacteraceae.